Ipomoea nil (Japanese morning glory) is the source of this 107-nucleotide small nucleolar RNA. It matches the Rfam family "Plant small nucleolar RNA R71". From Rfam's summary of the family: R71 is a member of the C/D box family of snoRNAs containing the C (UGAUGA) and D (CUGA) box motifs. Multiple nearly identical copies of this snoRNA have been identified in Arabidopsis, and it is thought to function as a 2'-O-ribose methylation guide for 18S ribosomal RNA. The record is from Rfam. Lineage: Eukaryota; Viridiplantae; Streptophyta; Magnoliopsida; Solanales; Convolvulaceae.
AUUUGAUGGUGUGGGCAACUUGCACAAAUCUUCUUGAAACGCUCCCAAUAUUCAUACAAUGACUCUCCAUUGUUUGGCCUUACACCACAGAUUUCCUUUCUAAUGUU